This is a non-coding RNA of Delphinapterus leucas (beluga whale), 130 nucleotides long. Ensembl annotates it as small Cajal body-specific RNA 24. Lineage: Eukaryota; Metazoa; Chordata; Mammalia; Artiodactyla; Monodontidae. The record is from Ensembl.
UGGACAUUUAUUUUUAUUCAGUUUCUUCUCACGGUGAAGAUAACUCUUUGUAAAUGUCCUAGAGAAAUAUAGUAGCUUUCUGUUCACCCUUUGCAAGUGAAAAGGGUGGAUCGUUCCACUGCUGACAUUU